UCACGAGUGGUAGAGUCAGCGUCGGUAGUCCGGUCGGUGCAUACGUUAAUCGGAAUGACUGGGGGUGAAUGGGGGUCAGGCGGUGUCGUAAGUCGGAUGUGAAAGCCCCGGGCUCAAACUGGGAAGUGCAGUUGAAACGAAGAGAUGAGAGUUGCGUAGAGGUGGGUAGAAUGCCCGGUGUAGAGGUGAAAUUCGUAGAUAUCUGGAGGAACACCAGGGGCGAAGGCGACCAACUGGACGAAAACUGACGCUGAGACACGAAAGCGUGGGGAGCAAACAGGAUUAGAUACCCCAGUAGUC
RNAcentral lists this ribosomal RNA (300 nucleotides) under uncultured Streptomyces sp. Its description in RNAcentral is "bacterial SSU rRNA". It matches the Rfam family "Bacterial small subunit ribosomal RNA", at positions 497 to 795 of the family's 1533-position model. The record is from RNAcentral. Lineage: Bacteria; Bacillati; Actinomycetota; Actinomycetes; Kitasatosporales; Streptomycetaceae.